This 108-nucleotide non-coding RNA is filed under the name Burkholderiales bacterium. RNAcentral's name for it is "SAH sequence". It matches the Rfam family "SAH (S-adenosyl-L-homocysteine) riboswitch aptamer". The record is from RNAcentral. Lineage: Bacteria; Pseudomonadati; Pseudomonadota; Betaproteobacteria; Burkholderiales.
CUGUUCGAGGAGCGUUGCAGCCCGCCAGAAACUGCUUGUCAGCUGGCGCGUGAGGCUCGGACACCAGAUCGCCUUGCCGAUUCUGCCUCCCAACCGCGCUCACCCACU